UUCAUCUACGCCGCCCUGCAUGAUCGUGCCCUGAGGAGAGAAAGGCGAUUUCGCGAUCGCCUUGACCCUCUCUCCUUAAGUGACAGGGAGCUCGUGAGCCACUACCGGUUCCCCCCCGCAUUAUUUGAUUGAGCUCAUCCAGGAGGUUGAGCCUGCCCUAAGGAGGAGGACAAGGAGGUCACAUGCAAUACCGCCACACACACAAGUUUUGGUGACCUUAAGACUGUUAGCCAGCGGUUCCUUUCAGCACGUCAUAGGCGACGUAUGCGGACUUGCACAGGGCAGUGUCAGCCGUGUAGUCCAGGACGUGACAGCUGUGUUGAGUGACAUAGCUCGACAAGAGAUAAAAAUGACCUCCACGAUGCAUGCAUUGAUGGAAUCGGCAACAGCUUUUGCAAGAGUUCGGAGUUUCCCUCGGGUUAUUGGUGCCAUUGAUUGUACUCAUAUUUCCAUUAAGGCACCCCAUGAAAAUGAGGCUGCCUACGUGAACAGGAAGAGGUACCACUCUUUCAACAUCCAAGUUGUGUGUGAUGCUGCUGGUAUGAUCAUCAGCUAUUGUGUCAUUUCCAGCAGGGUCAAAUCACGACUCCUUCAUCUGGCACCAUUGCGACCUAUAUGAACGCUUUCGCAGGGGUGAGUUUGGGGACUACCUGCUCCUUGGUGCGUAUCUGGAGGGAUGUUGAUGUUCUUGACAAAUGUUGCAUUACAUAUGUUACAUAAAUACCUUUUCAGUAAAUACUUAGUGUGUUACAGUAGCUUUCUUAAGUAGUUAUUUCACAUCCUGAAAAUGAUAUCACAUGACUGUAAUCUUUACAGGCGACAGCGGCUAUCCAUUAGAGCCAUUUUUGAUGAC
Eriocheir sinensis (Chinese mitten crab) is the source of this 853-nucleotide long non-coding RNA. RefSeq lists it as uncharacterized. The record is from RefSeq and is a predicted model, not a curated record. The transcript has 4 exons. NCBI's taxonomy places the organism in Eukaryota, Metazoa, Arthropoda, Malacostraca, Decapoda, Varunidae.